CUCAACCACAGAUCCUACUGACAUGAAGGUUUAUGCACCUUGAGGACUGCUGAACACUGACACAGCUAGCUGGUGCAUCUAAGAGACUGGCUAGGGCAGCAGCUUUGAAUACUUCUCCAACUACCACAGAGACUGCAAGGCAUCCAUUCAGGCACAACUCAUUUUAUCAGCAAGCCUUCUGCAAGCCGGUCCCAAAAAGAGAAAUGAGCUGUGGCCUGGAAAGGGAAGAAUGAAUCCAGUGGUUGAUGUAAAAGCGAG
This 258-nucleotide long non-coding RNA is filed under the name Homo sapiens (human). RNAcentral's name for it is "non-protein coding lnc-RAB6C-4:2". The record is from RNAcentral. Lineage: Eukaryota; Metazoa; Chordata; Mammalia; Primates; Hominidae.